ACGCUCGACACCUACGGGAGGAGCAGUGGGGAAUAUUGCACAAUGGAGGAAACUCUGAUGCAGCGACGCCGCGUGAGGGAAGAAGGUCUUCGGAUUGUAAACCUCUGUUGUCAGGGACGAUGAUGACGGUACCUGACGAGGAAGCCACGGCUAACUACGUGCCAGUAGCCGCCGGUAAGUACUGAGCGGGCGUGGCGAAGGACG
This 204-nucleotide ribosomal RNA is filed under the name uncultured bacterium. RNAcentral describes it as "partial 16S ribosomal RNA". It matches the Rfam family "Bacterial small subunit ribosomal RNA", at positions 328 to 538 of the family's 1533-position model. The record is from RNAcentral.